This 486-nucleotide ribosomal RNA is filed under the name uncultured bacterium. RNAcentral describes it as "partial 16S ribosomal RNA". It matches the Rfam family "Bacterial small subunit ribosomal RNA", at positions 30 to 507 of the family's 1533-position model. The record is from RNAcentral.
AUUGAACGCUGGCGGCAUGCCUUACACAUGCAAGUCGAACGGCAGCACGGGUGCUUGCACCUGGUGGCGAGUGGCGCACGGGUGAGUAAUACAUCGGAACAUGUCCUGUAGUGGGGGAUAGCCCGGCGAAAGCCGGAUUAAUACCGCAUACGAUCUACGGAUGACAGCGGGGGACCUUCGGGCCUCGCGCUAUAGGGUUGGCCGAUGGCUGAUUAGCUAGUUGGUGGGGUAAAGGCCUACCAAGGCGACGAUCAGUAGCUGGUCUGAGAGGACGACCAGCCACACUGGGACUGAGACACGGCCCAGACUCCUACGGGAGGCAGCAGUGGGGAAUUUUGGACAAUGGGCGAAAGCCUGAUCCAGCAAUGCCGCGUGUGUGAAGAAGGCCUUCGGGUUGUAAAGCACUUUUGUCCGGAAAGAAAUCCUUGGCUCUAAUACAGUCGGGGGAUGACGGUACCGGAAGAAUAAGCACCGGCUAACUACGUG